GGCGGACGGGUGCGUAAUGCCUAGGAAUCUGCCUGGUAGUGGGGGAUAACGUCCGGAAACGGGCGCUAAUACCGCAUACGUCCUGAGGGAGAAAGUGGGGAUCUUCGGACCUCACGCUAUCAGAUGAGCCUAGGUCGGAUUAGCUAGUUGGUGGGAUAAAGGCCUACCAAGGCGACGAUCCGUAACUGGUCUGAGAGGAUGAUCAGUCACACUGGAACUGAGACACGGUCAAGACUCCUACGGGAGGCAGCAGUGGGGAAUAUUGGACCAUGGGCGAAAGCCUGAUCCAGCCAUGCCGCGUGUGUGAAGAAGGUCUUCGGAUUGUAAUAGCACUUUAAGUUGGGAGGAAGUGGCAGUAAGUUAAUACCUUGCUGUUUUCACGUUACCAAAAGAAUAAGCACCGGCUAACUUCGUGCCAGCAGCCGCGGUAAUACGAAGGGUCUCAAGCGUUAAUCGGAAUUACUGGGCGUAAUGCGCGCGUAGGUGGUUCAGCAAGUUGGAUGUGAAAUCCCCGGGCUCACCUGAGAACUGCAUCCAAAACUACUGACUAGAGUACGGUAGAGGGUGGUGGAAUUCCUGUGUAGCGGUGAAAUGCGU
RNAcentral lists this ribosomal RNA (597 nucleotides) under uncultured bacterium. Its description in RNAcentral is "bacterial SSU rRNA". It matches the Rfam family "Bacterial small subunit ribosomal RNA", at positions 97 to 691 of the family's 1533-position model. The record is from RNAcentral.